RNAcentral lists this non-coding RNA (965 nucleotides) under Daubentonia madagascariensis (aye-aye). Its description in RNAcentral is "12S ribosomal RNA". It matches the Rfam family "Bacterial small subunit ribosomal RNA". Lineage: Eukaryota; Metazoa; Chordata; Mammalia; Primates; Daubentoniidae. The record is from RNAcentral.
UAUAGGUUUGGUCCUAGCCUUACUAUUAGCUAUUAGUAGCCUUACACAUGCAAGCUUCCACGCCCCGGUGAAAAUGCCCUCCAGAUCCUUACUGACCAAAAGGAGCGGGCAUCAAGCACACAACUCAUGUAGCUCAUAACGCCUUGCUAAACCACACCCCCACGGGACACAGCAGUGACUAACCUUAAGCAAUAAACGAAAGUUUGACUAAGCUAUACUACAUUCAUUCAAACAGGGUUGGCAAAUCUCGUGCCAGCCGCCGCGGCCACACGAUUAACCCAAGCUAAUAGCCCUACCGGCGUUGAGCGUGUUUAAGAAUACUAGAACUAAAACUAAGCUUUAGCCAAGCCGUAAAAAGCCCUGGCCAAAAUAAAAAUAACCUACGAAGGUAGUUUUAAUACCCUGAACACACGACAGCUAGGGUCCAAACUGGGAUUAGAUACCCCACUAUGCCUAGCCGUAAACCCCAAUGGCUAAUAAACAAAGUUAUUCGCCAGAGUACUAUAGGCAACAGCCCAAAACUCAAAGGACUUGGCGGUGCUUUAUACCCCCCUAGAGGAGCCUGUUCUAUAAUCGAUAAACCCCGAUAAACCUCACCACCCCUUGCCAAUCCAACCUAUAUACCGCCAUCUUCAGCAAACCCUACUAAGGUCCUAAAGUAAGCCCAAACAUAACCGUAUAAAAACGUUAGGUCAAGGUGUAGUCUAUGAGGUGGGAAGAAAUGGGCUACAUUUUCUAAAUAUAGAAUAUUCCGCACGACAACCUCUAUGAAACUCAAUAGGCCGAAGGAGGAUUUAGAAGUAAAUUGAGAAUAGAGAGCUCAGUUGAAUAGGGCCAUGAAGCACGCACACACCGCCCGUCACCCUCCUCAAGUAAAUCAAAUAACUACAACUAAGCUAUGAACUACCACAAGAGGAGAUAAGUCGUAACAAGGUAAGCAUACUGGAAAGUGUGCUUGGAGUAAU